GGGUUGUGAGGUUAAGCGAACAAGCGUACACGGUGGAUGCCCUGGCAGUCAGAGGCGAUGAAGGACGUGCUAAUCUGCGAAAAGCGCCGGUAAGGUGAUAUGAACCGUUAUAACCGGCGAUGUCCGAAUGGGGAAACCCGGUGCACUUCGGUGCAUCAUCGUUAGCUGAAUACAUAGGCUAACGAGGCGAACCGGGGGAACUGAAACAUCUAAGUACCCCGAGGAAAAGAAAUCAACCGAGAUUCCCCCAGUAGCGGCGAGCGAACGGGGAACAGCCCAGAGCCUGAAUCAGCUUGUGUGUCAGUGGAACGGUCUGGAAAGGCCGGCGAUACAGGGUGACAGCCCCGUACACGAAGGCACACAGGCUGUGAGCUCGAUGAGUAGGGCGGGACACGUGAUAUCCUGUCUGAAGAUGGGGGGACCAUCCUCCAAGGCUAAAUACUCCUGACUGACCGAUAGUGAACCAGUACCGUGAGGGAAAGGCGAAAAGAACCCCGGCGAGGGGAGUGAAACAGAACCUGAAACCGUGUACGUACAAGCAGUGGGAGCCUUCGUAAGAGGGUGACUGCGUACCUUUUGUAUAAUGGGUCAGCGACUUAUAUUCUGUAGCAAGGUUAACCGUAUAGGGGAGCCGAAGGGAAACCGAGUCUUAAUUGGGCGUUAAGUUGCAGGGUAUAGACCCGAAACCCGGUGAUCUAGCCAUGGGCAGGUUGAAGGUUGGGUAACACUAACUGGAGGACCGAACCGACUAAUGUUGAAAAAUUAGCGGAUGACCUGUGGCUGGGGGUGAAAGGCCAAUCAAACCGGGAGAUAGCUGGUUCUCCCCGAAAGCUAUUUAGGUAGCGCCUCGUGAACUCAUCUCCGGGGGUAGAGCACUGUUUCGGCUAGGGGGCCAUCCCGGCUUACCAACCCGAUGCAAACUGCGAAUACCGGAGAAUGUUAUCACGGGAGACACACGGCGGGUGCUAACGUCCGUCGUGAAGAGGGAAACAACCCAGACCGCCAGCUAAGGUCCCAAAGUCAUGGUUAAGUGGGAAACGAUGUGGGAAGGCCCAGACAGCCAGGAUGUUGGCUUAGAAGCAGCCAUCAUUUAAAGAAAGCGUAAUAGCUCACUGGUCGAGUCGGCCUGCGCGGAAGAUGUAACGGGGCUAAACCAUGCACCGAAGCUGCGGCAGCGACACGUAUGUGUUGUUGGGUAGGGGAGCGUUCUGUAAGCCUGUGAAGGUGUGCUGUGAGGCAUGCUGGAGGUAUCAGAAGUGCGAAUGCUGACAUAAGUAACGAUAAAGCGGGUGAAAAGCCCGCUCGCCGGAAGACCAAGGGUUCCUGUCCAACGUUAAUCGGGGCAGGGUGAGUCGACCCCUAAGGCGAGGCCGAAAGGCGUAGUCGAUGGGAAACAGGUUAAUAUUCCUGUACUUGGUGUUACUGCGAAGGGGGGACGGAGAAGGCUAUGUCAGCCGGGCGACGGUCGUCCCGGUUUAAGCGUGUAGGCUGACUUUCCAGGCAAAUCCGGAAGGUUAAGGCUGAGGCGUGAUGACGAGGCACCACGGUGCUGAAGUGACAAAUGCCCUGCUUCCAGGAAAAGCCUCUAAGCAUCAGGUAACAUCAAAUCGUACCCCAAACCGACACAGGUGGUCAGGUAGAGAAUACCAAGGCGCUUGAGAGAACUCGGGUGAAGGAACUAGGCAAAAUGGUGCCGUAACUUCGGGAGAAGGCACGCUGACAUGUAGGUGAAGCCCCUGCGGGUGGAGCUGAAGUCAGUCGAAGAUACCAGCUGGCUGCAACUGUUUAUUAAAAACACAGCACUGUGCAAACACGAAAGUGGACGUAUACGGUGUGACGCCUGCCCGGUGCCGGAAGGUUAAUUGAUGGGGUUAUCGCAAGAGAAGCUCCUGAUCGAAGCCCCGGUAAACGGCGGCCGUAACUAUAACGGUCCUAAGGUAGCGAAAUUCCUUGUCGGGUAAGUUCCGACCUGCACGAAUGGCGUAAUGAUGGCCAGGCUGUCUCCACCCGAGACUCAGUGAAAUUGAACUCGCUGUGAAGAUGCAGUGUACCCGCGGCAAGACGGAAAGACCCCGUGAACCUUUACUACAGCUUGACACUGAACAUUGAGCCUUGAUGUGUAGGAUAGGUGGGAGGCUUUGAAGCGUGGACGCCAGUCUGCGUGGAGCCAACCUUGAAAUACCACCCUUUAAUGUUUGAUGUUCUAACCUGGCGCCGUGAUCCGGCGUGGGGACAGUGUCUGGUGGGUAGUUUGACUGGGGCGGUCUCCUCCCAAAGUGUAACGGAGGAGCACGAAGGUCAGCUAAUCCUGGUCGGACAUCAGGAGGUUAGUGCAAUGGCAUAAGCUGGCUUGACUGCGAGAGUGACGGCUCGAGCAGGUGCGAAAGCAGGUCAUAGUGAUCCGGUGGUUCUGUAUGGAAGGGCCAUCGCUCAACGGAUAAAAGGUACUCCGGGGAUAACAGGCUGAUACCGCCCAAGAGUUCAUAUCGACGGCGGUGUUUGGCACCUCGAUGUCGGCUCAUCACAUCCUGGGGCUGAAGUAGGUCCCAAGGGUAUGGCUGUUCGCCAUUUAAAGUGGUACGCGAGCUGGGUUUAGAACGUCGUGAGACAGUUCGGUCCCUAUCUGCCGUGGGCGCUGGAGAAUUGAGGGGGGCUGCUCCCAGUACGAGAGGACCGGAGUGGACGCAUCACUGGUGUUCGGGUUGUCAUGCCAAUGGCACUGCCCGGUAGCUAAAUGCGGAAGAGAUAAGUGCUGAAAGCAUCUAAGCACGAAACUUGCCCCGAGAUGAGUUCUCCCUGAGACUUUAAGUCUCCUGAAGGAACGUUGAAGACGACGACGUUGAUAGGCCGGGUGUGUAAGCGCAGCGAUGCGUUGAGCUAACCGGUACUAAUGAACCGUGAGGCUUAACCUUACAACGCCAAAGAAGU
RNAcentral lists this ribosomal RNA (2928 nucleotides) under Cronobacter sakazakii. RNAcentral describes it as "bacterial LSU rRNA". It matches the Rfam family "Bacterial large subunit ribosomal RNA". Lineage: Bacteria; Pseudomonadati; Pseudomonadota; Gammaproteobacteria; Enterobacterales; Enterobacteriaceae. The record is from RNAcentral.